This 776-nucleotide ribosomal RNA is filed under the name uncultured Neocallimastigales. RNAcentral describes it as "partial large subunit ribosomal RNA". It matches the Rfam family "Eukaryotic large subunit ribosomal RNA", at positions 24 to 646 of the family's 3401-position model. The record is from RNAcentral. Lineage: Eukaryota; Fungi; Neocallimastigomycota; Neocallimastigomycetes; Neocallimastigales.
UAUCUCUGUAGAGUCUGCAUAUCAAUAAGCGGAGGAAAAGAAACUAACAAGGAUUCCCCUAGUAACGGCGAGUGAAGCGGGAAGAGCUCAAAUUUGAAAUCUUCAAGGUUUUACCUUGACGAAUUGUAGUUUAAAGAAGUGUUUUCGGUUAGAGGAGUUCGUAAAAGUUCUUUGGAAUAGGACAUCAUAGAGGGUGAGAAUCCCGUAUUUGACCGUUACUUUCCAGCUGUGUGAUACACUUUCAAAGAGUCGGAUUGUUUGGGAACGCAGUCCAAAAUGGGUGGUAAAUUUCAUCUAAAGCUAAAUAUUGGCGAGAGACCGAUAGCGAACAAGUACCGUGAGGGAAAGAUGAAAAGAACUUUGAAAAGAGAGUUAAACAGUACGUGAAAUUGUCAAAAGGGAAGCGUUUGACACCAGUGUUGUUUUCUCGAAAAUCAAUUAAAAAUGGCCGGAUUUUGUGUUGUAUUGACUUUAUCAGCUUUCUGCACAUUUUUCUUGUCUUUUUUAAUGCACUUUUCGUUUAACAAGUCAACAUCAAUUUCUUUUGUUGUAAAAGAGUCAUUGGAAGGUGGCUUCCACUUCGGUGAAAGUGUUUAUAGCCUUUGGCUUCUGCAAUCGGAGAGAUUGGGGUCUGCAGCGUAGAUCCUUCGGGGUUAGAUACAUUUGUGCUAAGUUAUAAUUUUUUAUAGACAACUUGUUGACUAUAAUUAAUCAUGUAGCUUACUCGCUUAUGCUAUUUUACCUACGCUUAGGAUGUUGACGCAUGAGAUAUACGC